Canis lupus familiaris (dog) is the source of this 381-nucleotide long non-coding RNA. RefSeq lists it as uncharacterized. The transcript has 3 exons. The record is from RefSeq and is a predicted model, not a curated record. NCBI's taxonomy places the organism in Eukaryota, Metazoa, Chordata, Mammalia, Carnivora, Canidae.
CAUAAGUGCCAGUGAGGGGGAAAAUAUCUUAGGGAAGCAGCUAAAGAGAGGAGAAUUUGAUUUAACAUUCUGAGAAUUCCUCCCAGUAUCUACAACCAAAAUCUGACACCAUCUGUUGGCUGGAAUAUUACAAUCAUUUGAUAAUUGUCUUCUCCUCAUCCGUUUGUUGUCCUUCUACUACCUGUUUCUCAAGCUGUGAUCAAAGGUCCUUUCCAGCAUUCUAUGAAGGACGACACACAGAGAUAGUUGCACACUAUGGGAGAAGUCCUGAGAGGAAAAGUUCAUGGUUCAAUAUGCAACCCAAAGUGAGAUGUGUCCCAAGCAGUCAAACAAACAGCCUGACUCCGAUCUAAGGCACAGGGGCGAAAAGUGAGCUCGAUU